UACGUAGGGUGCGAGCGUUGUCCGGAAUUAUUGGGCGUAAAGAGCUCGUAGGCGGUGUGUCACGUCGGCCGUGAAAACCUGGGGCUUAACUCUGGGCGUGCGGUCGAUACGGGCAUCACUAGAGUUCGGCAGGGGAGACUGGAAUUCCUGGUGUAGCGGUGAAAUGCGCAGAUAUCAGGAAGAACACCCGUGGCUAAGGCGGCUCUCUAGUACGGUACUGACGCUGAGACGCGAAAGCGUGGGGAGCAAACAGG
Molecule: ribosomal RNA, 254 nt
Filed under: uncultured bacterium
Lineage: Bacteria
Description: partial 16S ribosomal RNA
Rfam family: Bacterial small subunit ribosomal RNA
Source: RNAcentral